RNAcentral lists this unclassified non-coding RNA (266 nucleotides) under Dracocephalum nutans. Its description in RNAcentral is "partial external transcribed spacer". Lineage: Eukaryota; Viridiplantae; Streptophyta; Magnoliopsida; Lamiales; Lamiaceae. The record is from RNAcentral.
AGGUAGCAUUCCUCASCGACGUCAGYCCGACUCCGRACSSAGCCACGGGGGCACGGCCGRAGACCGAAYCGACGGUCGUUCGCACGAAGCGUWGAACGCUUUUUUGUAGCAGCACAGGACGGGAAUGGAACWAUGGUAGCCGAUAGAAUGCCCUCRUGAUAGGUAUGCAGCACAGGAAAAMCGACGUCGGACGAGCACUUGCUCGUGCCAACAACUGAAGAGACGCGGACGGGAUGCCGUCGCUGCCCGAGCAGGGAUCCGACAUG